ACACAACAACAUUAACAAAAACACAACAACAUUAAGGAAAACACAACGGAAGAGGUAGGUCCCAGUGGGAGACCUAAGAAGUCGCUGAUUGGACGACAGGUCGUUUUACUUUUGAACCGGAAGUUAUGCUGGAGUGCUUCGUUUGAUUGAAAACCUAAGGAAGCGGGAAUACAGUCACUUCGCCAUGUAUUGCCCGAACUGUGGAAAGGAGGUGGUUGAGCCGUCACCAAAUUUUUGCAGUAAUUGUGGCAAGAGGCUUCAAGAAACUUGUAUGGAGGAUACUCCACAAUGUUCAACACAACAGACUGUCCCAUCCUGCCGUACACCAGCCCUCAGCACCUUCCUUGAAUAGAAAAAUGAGGAGCGACCAAAGUAUUCUCUUGGGAGAAAGGGGUUAAAACAAAAGGUAGAAAUGAAAGUUCGGGUAGGUGCUAAAUUGGGUUCCCCUGUGUCGGGAGCGAUCAUUACAGCCAGAGAGACGAAUGAGGCGGAUCUGACCAUUUUCACGUCGCUUCUGAUCGAUUUCUCGGUAAAACAACUCAUAUAAUCAUGUGAAGGUUGUAACAUUGAGUUUAAUUGGCAGCUGUUGUUUAAAAAAUUGUAUAAUAAAUAAAUAAACAAGA
This is a long non-coding RNA of Poeciliopsis prolifica (blackstripe livebearer), 623 nucleotides long. RefSeq lists it as uncharacterized. Lineage: Eukaryota; Metazoa; Chordata; Actinopteri; Cyprinodontiformes; Poeciliidae. The record is from RefSeq and is a predicted model, not a curated record. The transcript has 2 exons.